GCUGCUUUUUCUUUGAAAUGUUACAACAGUGUCGGAUGAUAUUAUUAGAAAGAGCGACGGCUCACCUGGAAGGACCCCAGCCCCAGCUCAAAGACCAGCCUCUCCCUCUUGCUGACGUCCUCGGAACACGGUGAUGGAAAACGUAAAAUCAAGUUGGGUGACAGGAAGGAAGUCUGGCUGAACUCAACUCCACAACCAGACUCGGACUUCCUGCCGACAGGUGUGACCCACAGACAGGUAAAUGCUGGAUUCGUUUCCUCCGAUGUCGGGCGACUGCAGCUUCUGCACCAGGAUGAUGAUGAUUCCGAUGAAGAGGACGAAGUUGAUCUGACAGCAAACAGGACAUCACAUGUCAUUGACUGAGACUUCCUGCUCCACCAGGUUGGAAAGGAGGUUUGAAAACUCCCAGAAUCCCUUGCUCCAGAGUCGUCUGAAGGCCUGAAUGACUGUUCUUCAGCAUGAACCUGGAGUUUCUGCUUUAGAAGAUUUUCUGUCUCAGUAGUUUAGUUCUUGGUUGAUUUCCUCUGUUGUUGAACUGUUAAUUUUUCUAUUUGAUUCGAUGUUUUAUUUUGUGUUUCUGUUAUUAAUCUUUCUGCUUAAAAUCCAGAGAAUUUAUGUUUAUGAAUGAAUGAUCUCAGACUUUCUUUUCUUGGUCAUUUGUGUUUAUGAGUUUGGAUUUGUUGAUUCAUUCCACCAAACCUCCUCGUUUAUUUCUUAUGUUUCCAAUUUCAGUGUUUUUCAACCAGUGUGCCGUGACAGAUGUUCAGGUGUGCCGUGACAGCCGUUCAGGUGUGCCGUGGGAAAUGAUUCACUUUCACUGAUCUAAAAACAUUUUCUAUCUCCAGGACAUCAACUCUGUUUUCAUCCAGACAGGCCCUGAUAAAACACUGAAUAGUGUUAGUGGAAUACACCAAAAAAUACUUUUUUUCUUUGGGUUUAUUUGAUUCCAAUAAAGAAUUUUUGAUAAGA
Oryzias melastigma (Indian medaka) is the source of this 969-nucleotide long non-coding RNA. RefSeq lists it as uncharacterized. NCBI's taxonomy places the organism in Eukaryota, Metazoa, Chordata, Actinopteri, Beloniformes, Adrianichthyidae. The record is from RefSeq and is a predicted model, not a curated record. The transcript is spliced from 5 exons.